This 1203-nucleotide ribosomal RNA is filed under the name 'Cannabis sativa' phytoplasma. RNAcentral describes it as "bacterial SSU rRNA". It matches the Rfam family "Bacterial small subunit ribosomal RNA", at positions 173 to 1375 of the family's 1533-position model. The record is from RNAcentral. Lineage: Bacteria; Bacillati; Mycoplasmatota; Mollicutes; Acholeplasmatales; Acholeplasmataceae.
GGAAACAAAAAGGCAUCUUUUUGUUUUUAAAAGACCUUCUUACGAAGGUAUGCUUAAAGAGGGGCUUGCGCCACAUUAGUUAGUUGGUAGAGUAAAAGCCUACCAAGACGAUGAUGUGUAGCUGGACUGAGAGGUUGAACAGCCACAUUGGGACUGAGACACGGCCCAAACUCCUACGGGAGGCAGCAGUAGGGAAUUUUCGGCAAUGGAGGAAACUCUGACCGAGCAACGCCGCGUGAACGAUGAAGUAUUUCGGUAUGUAAAGUUCUUUUAUUGAAAAAGAAAAAGUAGUGGAAAAACUAUAUUGACGUUAUUCAAUGAAUAAGCCCCGGCUAACUAUGUGCCAGCAGCCGCGGUAAGACAUAGGGGGCGAGCGUUAUCCGGAAUUAUUGGGCGUAAAGGGUGCGUAGGCUGUUAGAUAAGUCUAUAAUUUAAUUUCAGUGCUUAACGCUGUCUUGUUAUAGAAACUGUCUUGACUAGAGUGAGAUAGAGGCAAGCGGAAUUCCAUGUGUAGCGGUAAAAUGUGUAAAUAUAUGGAGGAACACCAGAAGCGUAGGCGGCUUGCUGGGUCUUUACUGACGCUGAGGCACGAAAGCGUGGGUAGCAAACAGGAUUAGAUACCCUGGUAGUCCACGCCGUAAACGAUGAGUACUAAGUGUCGGGGUAAAACUCGGUACUGAAGUUAACACAUUAAGUACUCCGCCUGAGUAGUACGUACGCAAGUAUGAAACUUAAAGGAAUUGACGGGACUCCGCACAAGCGGUGGAUCAUGUUGUUUAAUUCGAAGAUACACGAAAAAUCUUACCAGGUCUUGACAUACUCUGCAAAGCUAUAGAAAUAUAGUGGAGGUUAUCAGGGAUACAGGUGGUGCAUGGUUGUCGUCAGUUCGUGUCGUGAGAUGUUAGGUUAAGUCCUAAAACGAACGCAACCCUUGUCGUUAAUUGCCAGCACAUAAUGGUGGGGACUUUAACGAGACUGCCAAUUAAACAUUGGAGGAAGGUGAGGAUUACGUCAAAUCAUCAUGCCCCUUAUGAUCUGGGCUACAAACGUGAUACAAUGGCUGUGACAAAGAGUAGCUGAAACGCGAGUUUUUAGCCAAUCUCAAAAAAGCAGUCUCAGUUCGGAUUGAAGUCUGUAACUCGACUUCAUGAAGUUGGAAUCGCUAGUAAUCGCGAAUCAGCAUGUCGCGGUGAAUACGUUCUC